This 500-nucleotide ribosomal RNA is filed under the name uncultured bacterium. RNAcentral describes it as "partial 16S ribosomal RNA". It matches the Rfam family "Bacterial small subunit ribosomal RNA", at positions 30 to 523 of the family's 1533-position model. The record is from RNAcentral.
AUUGAACGCUGGCGGAAUGCUUUACACAUGCAAGUCGAACGGCAGCACGGACUUCGGUCUGGUGGCGAGUGGCGAACGGGUGAGUAAUGUAUCGGAACGUGCCCAGUCGUGGGGGAUAACGUAGUGAAAAUUACGCUAAUACCGCAUACGAGCUAUGGAUGAAAGCGGGGGAUCGCAAGACCUCGCGCGAUUGGAGCGGCGGAUAUCAGAUUAGGUAGUUGGUGGGGUAAAGGCCCACCAAGCCAACGAUCUGUAGCUGGUCUGAGAGGACGACCAGCCACACUGGAACUGAGACACGGUCCAGACUCCUACGGGAGGCAGCAGUGGGGAAUUUUGGACAAUGGGCGAAAGCCUGACCCAGCCAUUCCGCGUGCAGGAUGAAGGCCCUCGGGUUGUAAACUGCUUUUGUACAGAACGAAAAGGUCUCUACUAAUACUAGGAGCUCAUGACGGUACUGUAAGAAUAAGCACCGGCUAACUACGUGCCAGCCGCCGCCGUAA